Molecule: long non-coding RNA, 1866 nt
Organism: Paramormyrops kingsleyae
Lineage: Eukaryota; Metazoa; Chordata; Actinopteri; Osteoglossiformes; Mormyridae
Source: RefSeq, a predicted model, not a curated record
CCAUCUUCCUCCUAAUCAGUGUAUUGCUUUAAAAGAUCGUCGCCUCUGGACAAAAAAAUAAACGUGCGCCCGAAUUGCAUGGCGCGUCCUUUAAAUCUCAGCGGGGUUCAGUUCCGCUGCGGGUCUAAGGUGCCGUUUAGGGACGGUGCGCGGGGGGCAGCGAGGUGCGGCGGGCCGGUCGGCGUGACAGCGCGCCUGUCGUCCGCCGCUUGUCGCCGAUCAGGAGAGGCGCCUCGGGAGAGACACGUAUCAGCAAGGUGCAGGCUGUCGGGGGCAAGAGUGAGGGGAUCCUUUACUGCAUGCCCGCGAGGCGCUCGCUGUGACACCCUUCCUCAGGGGGGCAGCAGUGAGGUGCUCACCCUGAUGUCAUUCCUUAGUGCUUCAUGAAUAGAAUGGGCUGACGUAGCAAUCGCUGCAUGCAUUCAUCCAUUACCUUAAUACCUCUGCAAGCGGCCUCACUGCAACGCCAUUCGCCAGUCCCUAAUUGGGGGGCCCUGAAGUGCAUCCCCGGCCCCCCCCCACCGGUUUGGUUCCCUCAUGCCGCCCUCUCGUGGGGGCUUGGCGUCCACAGUUAAACAUGCGCCUCCGCAGACGUGUCAUGUGCUGUACAUCAGAAAGGAUCAGCGACCUGGUCCGAAAAUCACAUGACCGUGGAUCAGAGGCCCGGCAAGUAACAGAGAGCGGCACUCCCACACUUUAACCUAAAGUACAAGCAUACGCUGCGGGGGAGAAAGAGACCCCCCCACAAAGACACAGUCGGCGUGUGGUGAAGGCUCACAUCCCACCCAGCUUCCCCUGUAUCUGCUGCUGCUCCUGUUCCAAGCCGCAAGCCGUCGAUUUGCAUCCCGUCCCAUCGCCGCCCAACUUCGGUUUACAUCGACAGUUUAAUUGAAGUUUUUCCUAAUGCUGUCAAGGGUCAUUUCAUCACAGUGCCAGAAACCCACUUGGAAAAUGCAUUUUUUACUCCGAAAGCCAGAUCAAAGGGCUUUGGCCCCAGGCUACUUGAACAAGACUACUAAAGAAAAGGAUUUCAAAAAGAAUUCUAGAGCAGUCUUGGGAUUCGUCAAACAAGUCCCGUGUUCCCCGUUAUUUGCCGCACGACGUCGGGAAGCCGGUACCGGUUGUGACACUCCGAACUUGAAGCACCGCAGCCGGUGCCACUUAGCGCAACGAAGGCCCACGGAUGACAGUGGAUCGCGGAAGAACCUCAGUCUGUCCAUAAUUGUUCCCCCAGUUCCACGCUGGAGUCGCACAGACGUGGUACCUGGAGGAGGUGCCCCCCCUCCACCCCUGCCAGCUGCUUGAGACCGCGGUUGCAGUGGAGGAGCAUCCCAAUUAGCGGAACGUGCCCCAUUCACCAGUGCACAGUUGCGUGCCUCUUCACUGGCCGCCAGUAUCUCAGUCGCGGGGCAGACCCACGGCUCCGCUGCGCCCUGGGCCGGCCUGGACACCUUUACCAUCGGCUUGCGUAAAAAUGGACGGUCAGAGACCAUCCAGCGUCUAUAAGAUACAGAAAAGUCACAGAAAUGACUCCCGUGAGCUUCCCGUUUUGUGGACUUAAUCACACACACAUAAGCAGAUUAAAGCAUUAAUGCAACAAAUUAUCCUGUUCAAAUUCUAAGAGUAAAAAGUCUAAAUUUCCAUAAGUAACUAAAGGGUAAGUGUAAAUGUUUUUGUUUUAAGUGCCUCUUUAAGUGCUUUACGCAAACUGACAUUAAGCUGCGAUCUCUGCCCAGGUGUCCCAAUCCCAGACCAGCCAGUAUGUCAUCUGACGGUCAUUGGGUGUAUUUCAGAUACUUCAUGCUGUUUUCUGACUAGCGUGGUUCAACCAUAAAUGUCCAAUAAACUAUGACUGGUUCCUGUUCA